Molecule: ribosomal RNA, 468 nt
Filed under: uncultured bacterium
Lineage: Bacteria
Description: partial 16S ribosomal RNA
Rfam family: Bacterial small subunit ribosomal RNA
Source: RNAcentral
GACGAACGCUGGCGGCGUGCUUAACACAUGCAAGUCGAACGGAAAGGCCCUGCUUUUGUGGGGUGCUCGAGUGGCGAACUGGUGAGUAACACUUGAGUAACCUGCCCUUGACUUUGGGAUAACUUCAGGAAACUUGGUCUAAUACCUGAUAGGAUCUCCUGCUGCUUGGUGGGGGUUGGUUAGUUUCGGGGGUUGGGGAUGGACUCGCGGCUUAUCAGCUUGUUGGUUGGGUAGUGGCUUACCAAGGCUUUGACGGGUAGCCGGCCUGAGAGGGUGACCGGACACAUUGGGACUGAGAGACGGCACAGACUCCAACGGGAGGGAGCAGUGGGGAAUAUUGCACAAUGGGAGGAAGCAUGAUGCAGCAAAGCAGCGUGGGGGAUGACGGGAUUGGGGUAGUAAACAGAAUUAGCAUGUGACGAAGCGAGAGUGACGGUAAUGGGUAAAGAAGCACCGGCUAACUACGUG